GGUUGUGGCCCAGUGGUAGAGCGCUUGUCUCCCAUACAUAGGGCCCUGGGUUCAGUCCUCAGCACCA
Molecule: transfer RNA, 67 nt
Filed under: Marmota monax (woodchuck)
Lineage: Eukaryota; Metazoa; Chordata; Mammalia; Rodentia; Sciuridae
Description: tRNA.Gly
Source: RNAcentral